GACGAACGCUGGCGGCGUGCUUAACACAUGCAAGUCGAACGGUGAAGCGCCUUCCUUUUUGGUGGGUGUGGAUGAGUGGCGAACGGGUGAGUAACACGUGAGUAACCUGCCCCCUUCUUCUGGAUAACCGCAUGAAAGUGUGGCUAAUACGGGAUAUUCUGGGUCUGUCGCAUGAUGGGUCUGGGAAAGAUAUUGUUUCGGUGGGGGAUGGGCUCGCGGCCUAUCAGCUUGUUGGUGGGGUGAAGGCCUACCAAGGCGGUGACGGGUAGCCGGCCUGAGAGGGUGGACGGUCACACUGGGACUGAGACACGGCCCAGACUCCUACGGGAGGCAGCAGUGGGGAAUAUUGCACAAUGGGCGCAAGCCUGAUGCAGCGACGCCGCGUGAGGGAUGGAGGCCUUCGGGUUGUGAACCUCUUUCGCCAGUGAAGCAGGCCUGCCUCGUUUGUGGGUGGGUUGACGGUAGCUGGAUAAGAAGCGCCGGCUAACUACGUG
RNAcentral lists this ribosomal RNA (494 nucleotides) under uncultured bacterium. Its description in RNAcentral is "partial 16S ribosomal RNA". It matches the Rfam family "Bacterial small subunit ribosomal RNA", at positions 28 to 507 of the family's 1533-position model. The record is from RNAcentral.